This is an RNA transcript of Colossoma macropomum (tambaqui), 3253 nucleotides long. RefSeq lists it as uncharacterized. The record is from RefSeq and is a predicted model, not a curated record. The transcript is spliced from 6 exons. NCBI's taxonomy places the organism in Eukaryota, Metazoa, Chordata, Actinopteri, Characiformes, Serrasalmidae.
GCGAACUGUACAGUAAACAGAUGGUGUUAACGAGCGGUUUCGUGUUGUAUUCAUUUGGUUGUGUUGCUAAGUAUAGUUCCUUUGAAUCACUUUCAGUCUUUGGGAAAACAUGCAAGGAGUGUCCGGUGUCGGGCCGGCACAGUUCGGCCACGAGGCUCCGCGGAGCGACUGCUUACCGAGCCAAAUGGCGCGGAAUGAUGCUGUGGACAGUUAUGGUUAUCAGCUGAACAUGAAGACUGAGCCCCACAUGUUUAGCAUCAACUCCUCAGAGGAGCUUCAUUUCCUCAGGUCUCGAGUUCAGAUGCUGGAGAGAGAAAAGGCAGAGAUGGCUGCGGAAAACCAGCGCCUCAAAGACCUGCUCGUCAAGGAGAUUCCACACCUUUUGUCUACAAUGUGGCAGACUAUAACCAGCAAUGCUGGACAACCCAGCCACCAUCAGCCUGGCCCUUCACUAUCUGAGUCCAUCAAUGCUGGAGUCAGCAGCUACAUGCCUGCGCAGUACAAAGAACAGGACUGCAGUCUUCUGCCGUCGGUUUCGGUAGAUAUAAAGGGUGUUCAGCAGGAAAUGAUUUUGGAAACUGGUGCCUACGGACACAAAAUUGCUGGCAGCCAUAAUGGAGCUGAUGGGGGUAUGUUUGAAUCGAUGGAUGACAUGAAUGGGAAUUUGUGUCCCAGUCGCCCUCAGAGAAGAUGGUCAGAAUGCGUAUCUAAGCUCUCCAUGCAGCUCUACAGAUUCAGUAUCUUCCCUCAGUGAACACAGACCACUGGCUCCAAACAACACACCUAGAGUGAAUGUCAGUGGAACCAGCAGUGAGCUUGUGUUAAAGGUGAUGAAUAAUUGGAGCCUGCUCCUUCCCCGUGCGAGCUCUUUGUCCUCUGGGCGUUGGUCUGGCCUGCGCUGCCCUGGCACCUGCUGGGCCGUGGUGGGUGAGGGCGGGUGUGAGGGGGCUCCGCUCAAUGCCCGGAUCGAUUUCUCCACAGGUAGAGCUGCUCCCUCUCUCUCUCUCAGCUGGGGCGAUCGCCCCACGACAGGGCUUUGCGGGGAUGUGUGUUCCUGUGUCCCUCUGUGCCUCACCUUUUGUCUUCUGUCUUACAGCCUCUUUCACUCAUGCUUUUUUUUCUUUAUUUAGUUUUGUUAACUUCUUAAACUUUGAAAAGCCAUCAACAGGUCCAGACAUCCCUUCCCCUGUCUCCUAAACUACAUAUCAGUUUCAUAGAGGUUCCUGUAUAAAUCAUAGUAGUUCCUAGCAGUUACUUUCUGGAUAAAUCCCCCGCAUGUUUUCAGUAGGAGACAGACAGGCCAGUCUAACACCUGCACUCUGUGAUUACACAGCUAUGCUGUUGUAACAUGUGCAGAAUGUAGCUUGGUGUUGUCAUGUUGAAAUGAGCAUGAACGUCCCUGAAAAAGACGUCAUCUAGAAGGCAGCAUAUUUUGCUCUAAAAUGUAUUGAGCAUUCAUGAUGCUUUCACCGACAUCCAAGUUACCCACUAAUACUACCCCAUAUCAUGACAGACCCUGGCUUUGGAACUUUAGGCUGGUAAGAAUCGGGAUGGUCAUUUACUUCUUUGGCCCAGAGAACACAAUGUCCAUUAUUUCCAUAAACUGUCUGAAAGGUUGACUCGUCAGUCCAUGCACACACAGUGCAUCAGUCCAUUUCAGAUGAGCUUUAGCCCAGAGAAGUCGGCAGCGUUUCUUAACAUUGUUGAUACUUGGAUUUCUCUGAGCAUAAUACAGUUGUAACUAGUAUUUAUGGAUUCAGUAACGAACAGUGUUUGUUAACAAUGGUUAGUCAAUGUAUUUCUGCCCCGUUGGUGAUAUCCAUCAUAGAAACAUGCAGUUCCAGCUGAGGUCAAGGUCAGCUGAGUUGAAGGUCAUGGGUGUUCAGUUGUAGUUUUGGCUUUGUCUCUGGAUUUCCUGAUUUUUUAUUUUCUCCCCAAUUUAUUCGUGUCCACUUUUUGAGGCCAGCCGCUUCAACGUCAUUGAACAGCUCAACACACUCAGAGAAGAACGCUAACCGCCAGUUCUGUUAUGUCAGCUGACAGAUGCCUGCCUGAGGACCAUUCUAUCCACACAGAGAGAGUGAGGCAAACUGUGUUUUUUUCAUUUGUACUGUUUUCAUUCAAAUAUAAACAGAUGAAAGUAGAUUUAUAAAUCAUUGCUCUCUGUAAUUAUUUGCAUUUUUCUUACUGUCUAGCCUUUUUUGGAAUUGGGUUUGUAUUAAAGUGAGUCAAAUUCUGUCUGUAUUCUUUAUCUUGUCAAACAGUGAAAGCAAAUAGCAAUUGCUUUGCUAUUAACAAUGCUAGUAUUUCUCAGUUGGCAGCAAAGUGAAGAUAUUCAUCUGUGAUUUAAAACUGUACUGUGCACUGUGGAAGACAAAUGUCAACAAUGUCCAGAAAUGCCGCCAACUUCGCUGGGUUUAAGCUCAUCCGCAAUGGAAUGAUGUACAGAGGAAACAUGUAUUGUGGUCUGGAAUGAGCAUAUUUUUAUCCAAAACAAAUAAAAAUCAAUCAAGUUUAUAAGGUCCGACAGGUGGAAGUGUAUCCAGGUUCAGGCAUUUUCUGUGCAGAACACGCUUGGCUGGCGGCUAACAUGGCGCGGUCACCGACGGCGAUGGUGCGAGCCCUGUUGUUAGGGGUUUUUGACAUGGACACGCUUUUAAACAGCAACCUCAGAGGAGGGAGGAGCCGCAGACCUUCAUACUCAGACCACCACGCCCCCCUGGACCCGGACAAGCUGAACGCCAUUUACAAUGCCACGCUGGCGCGGUUCCCAUUGGCACGGAAGGGCCAGAUUGGUACCGGGAUCAACUCCAAGCUGUCUGAGAUCCGCUUCAGAUCCAGGAAAGUCAAGCGGGACAGACGUGGCCGCUGAUGGAUUUACCGCACAUAUUGGAGGAGUGUAACUCUGUUUGUGGGAAAAGUGAUUUUGUUGCGCCCGGGUGGCAUCCGUGUGUGUGUGGUUCUGUGUGUGAGACUGUGUAAGGUAAAGUGUUUGCUCACUGGUUUUAGGAUGUUGGCCAGUUUUCCAGGGUCGUUAAAUUAUUACUGUAUUGGAACGAAGGAAGAGCAAACAGUGAAUGAAGAAACACAUAUGCUGUCACACGGCCCCCCCUACACUCUUAAUAACGAAGGGUACCAUAUGGUUUUUGGUUUGAACGUACAAUUCAGAAAAAACAUCUAAUUGAUACAGAACCUUUUCUUUUUGUGGAGGUUCUUUGAACUUUAAAGGGGAUUUCCACUGAAUUUUUCAAAA